UGCCAGCAGCCGCGGUAAUACGGAGGGCGCAAGCGUUGUUCGGAAUUACUGGGCGUAAAGCGCGGGCAGGCGGUCUGUUAAGUCUUUUGUGAAACUCCGGGGCUCAACUCCGGACAUGCAGAAGAUACUGGCAGACUGGAGACCAGUAGAGGCUAGCGGAAUUCCUGGUGUAGCGGUGGAAUGCGUAGAUAUCAGGAAGAACACCUGUGGCGAAGGCGGCUAGCUGGGCUGGAUCUGACGCUGAACUGCGAAAGCGUGGGGAGCAAACAGGAUUAGAUA
RNAcentral lists this ribosomal RNA (279 nucleotides) under uncultured bacterium. RNAcentral describes it as "partial 16S ribosomal RNA". It matches the Rfam family "Bacterial small subunit ribosomal RNA", at positions 506 to 784 of the family's 1533-position model. The record is from RNAcentral.